UCUAUGGGUAGUUUUCUAAUUUUCAAAUGUCAGUAGCUAAUUUACAAUCAUUUAAAAUAUUAUGUGGGCUAAUUUGUGAGCUCUGCCUUAAUAUUUGUAAGAUAAUAAUAAUUGCCACUGGAAAUGGAAUUCUGCCUGGCUGUGACCCCUGAAUGAUAGAAAUAGAACCCAUAAGUGGCAGUUACAGAGAAAUAAGCCUUGGUUCAAAAUAAGAACACAUUUCCUAAUAAUAUUACUCAAAGUCAGAGUGUUCUGUUGUAGGGAAUGAGUUGCUCAUUUCUAUAUGUGUUCAAGAAUCAAUUGGUUGACAUCUUUGCCAGAACUGUGUAAAGGAAGACUAGACAUGAGACAGAUGGGAUGUUACCCUUCACAUCUCCCUUCAAACCUGAGCUCCUUUGAAUCAAAAGCCGUACUUCUUCACGAAGGUUUUAAUUCAAGCUGGACUGGCAUUCAGAAUGAGCCUUCUGGUUUUACUUUCUGUGUCAUACGUAGAACACAUGUGUGUCCUUUCUGGUCUGUUAAUAUAGGAUGGGAUUGGAAUGCCUUUUCCAAGGGAAAAUGUUUCAAAGGCUGAUUAUUACUAUUUUAGACUUCCUAUCUCUUGGAUUUGCCUUGCCCUGAGUUGGCCUGUGCUUCUUCAAAUCCACUCAGCAAAGUUCAACUUGGCUUGGCUGUGUCUCUGCUGGUAUUAUUUUCUAUGGAAAUAAAUGCACACAGACUCUGAUAAUUUAUACACACUCAGAUGUAACCAUAAGGAGAAACCAACACUUUAUAUUUUUAAAUUGCCAUAAAUCUGGGAUCUGGAAAUGAACAAUUUUUCUUCCUCUGAACACAUAUAUUUGCCAAUAUUGGUACUUUCUGUACCCUCAAAAACAUUGACUAUAUUAAUAUAACACUGAAAAUGUGAACAUUUAAGCAAAAACUAUUUGGCCAAUUAAACCAGAUACAACAAUUAAUUCAAUGACAAAAAUAAGUCAAGCAAGUCAGCUUUGGCACAUGGAGGCAUCAAGACACCAGCGUCUGUUUUAUUUUUGACGGCCGCGUCUGGUCCUUAUAUAUUCAUCUAACACUUUCAGUAGAUCUUGACUUCAGUAUGAAACUUGCUCACAUUUUCAGAUCUAUAAAGGACAGAUUUUAACCAUUAUUCUGAAAAGGCUUUUUAUUCCACAAGAAAAUGAAGAGGAAAAAAGACUGCUUUAUACUAAAAUACUUAUUUCAGCCUUGAAGCUAAGCCCUAGCCAUUCUCAGAUGCUGGAAUACUUGGGUUUGGGAGAUCUUUACUGCAUGGUUCUUGGCCUGGAGCCUCAGCAUGCUAGAGAAUCCACUUGAAUGUUCUGUUUUUCAAUCAUUUGUUUGCAAAGUCUAAUCUGGAAGAGGAAUUAAUAUUAUUAAGGAGCUUUUAUGUGCAAGAGCUGUGCCAAGCGCUUAACAUACACUGUCUUGUUUAACCCUCACGACGACCAGUGGGGCAGGCAUUUCUAUCCACAUGAGAAAGCAGGCUCCCGAGCUUCAGAAUCAAAUCAGAGCUUGGGACUCAGGGCAACCAGCUCCAAGAUCACACAGGUGUUUGUUUGUUUGUUUGUGUUUGUUUGUUUCAGCAUAAGACAAAUGAUGGGGGAAAGGAGAAAAGAAAUCUUGUAACUUAGGUAAUCGAAAAUAAAAUUUCAAGAACCAUUUAUGAAACUAUCUCUUGGAAUCAUAAUACCAGUUACACAUUAAACUUAACCAUAGGGAGACUGAGUACAAACAUUUAGCGAUUAGCCUUAUGGUAAAUCUGUGAGAUUGAAACUUUCUAAAUCUUAUUGCAGAUGGUGCUAGCUACUGACUUUGACUUUCGGCUGUUAGACUGAUCAUUAGCAAAUAACUUAUGAACGCACAUCAGCUUUGAGUGAACUUUGCUAUUUUUCUUUGCCCUGAUUUGUUACGAUCUAUGCCUUCUUUGGUAACCCCGAUGAUCACUCAAAGUAGGACUUUGAGCAGAUAUCCUAAGGCCGAUAUCCCAAUUCUGCAUCUGUGUUUUCCCUUGAGGUUUAAACAGUAUGUUGAAUCAACAUUCUAUCAAGAGCCUUUUCAGUGCUUUCUACCAAGAAGUUCUUAGUGAGAGCUGCAUUCAGUUCAACUUUCUUUCUCGGUUCCUUUCCCUACCCUGGUUUAGUGUGUUGAAAAAAUCCUUUCGCAUCAGCAUUUAUGCAGCAUAUAAUUUUUUUACUCUCAUCCAACAGGCACAUUUGGAUUUACUAUUUCACUUGAACAGUUGGUGUUUACUGGCAGCAACAAGAACAAAAUUUAUAGCAGCAAAUGGAAGCUGAACUCGCAUGCUGGCUUUGCACUGAAGAACUUUGUGUCUGCCAUUUCCUAAUUGUGAAAACAGUAUGUCCAAGAUUUUGCAGUCAUCAGCAUUCUGAUGUAACGACUUCCAUCUGGUCAAAGGAAGGAAUUCAGAACCGCUAUCUCCUUUUGAAUUCUACUCCAAUGCAAAGGCAUAUCUAGAGCUCUUCAAAUAAGCAAUGUGAUGUUAGAAAAAGUGCAGAAGCUCCUUCAGCACUUUCCAGGGCUAACCAGCUGCUGAGGAGGGACCUCUAGGAAGGAGAGAAGCACUCUGAUCCAGACAGGGAUUUACACCUAAAGUUCCAACUCCACCAUGUCUUCAGAACAGUUCUUCUGGACCUUGCAUCCAAUUGUGGAGAUGUUAAUUAUCAACAAACAAAAUCUCCGGGUGCCCGAAGGACCUAGGCUACACAGAAACCUGUGAACUGCCCGUGAGAAUGCAAUGAGUCAAAAGAAUAACAGAAUUAAAUAAGUUCAGUCUCUAAGUGUGUCUUAAAACUCUUAUCUAUAAACCCCUAAUCUUAGUAAUUUCCGUCACAGUUGUUAUUCAUAAACAUUUGAUCAUUGUUCGUAGAAGAUCUAACAAAUUAGCACCAUGGAUUGUUUUGGAGAUGAAAGGACAGUACACUAUUCCGUUUAGCUUGUUCAGGGCACUUGAGUUAAAUCCCUUGAGUCCUCACUCCAUCAGAUAGUCCAUGAAAUGCUGAUGACGAUAUAAUAAUUAUCCAUACAGUUAGAGUGUUCACUAAUUAAGAAUGCUGAAGAAUGAAGUAUAUUAAAUGGGUCAUGCUGCAUUUUUUUUUUUUUUUUUUGAGACAAUGUCUCACUCUGUUGCCCAGGCUGGAGUGCAGUGGAGCAAUCUCGGCUCACUGCAACUUCUGCAUCCUGAUUCAAGUGAUUCUGCCACAGCCUCCCAGGUAGCUGGGAUUACAGGCACAUGCCAUCAUGUCUGGUUGAUUUUUGUGUUUUUAGUAGAAACAGUGUUUCACCAUGUUGGCCAGGCUGUCUCUAACGCUUGACUUCAGGUGAUCUACCCACCUCAGCCUCCCAAAGUGCUGAGAUUACAGGCAUGAGCCACUGCCAUAUUGCACCUUAGAAUGAAUUUGUGUUUGUGAGGUAGAGGAGAUUUCACUCAAAAUUAAGAAUUACUAAAGAUGGGGUAUUAAUAGGAAAUGAAAAAUUGCUUUUACUCCAAUGACUUAAAUAGCAUUGCAUCGUUCACAUUACUAAGAUGUUUCUACAUGGAGAACUUUAGAAAGCAAAUCCUGAAGGGUGCAGACAGGGGAAGGAAAAAGGAAGAGAAACGGAAGAAGACAGGGAAGGGAAAAUGAGGAGGAAGGAGAAAGAAGAGGAGGGAGAGGGGGAAAUUUGGAAAAGGCUGGAAGAAUUUGCUUUCUUCACAUUCUGGUUCCCAGCUUGGUCCUCUUCUGGCAAUAAUCAGGCCCUGGGGGAGAGAGGAGUGAAAGACAGAAAGGGUAAAGAAGAAAAUAAAAUAAACAGAUAGAAAAGAAGAAGACCAGGAGAAAUCUGAACGAGGAAAGAAGAAACAUAGAAGACACACAGAACAUGGCAUGUUAAAAUGACACUAAAAUGAGAGUUAAGCUUAGUUCAGCAAAAGUUUUGAACCCCUCAAGUGUGCCAGGUGCUGUACAAGGAGCCAGCAACACGCAUAUGAAGGAGACAUGGCCACUGUUGUGGAGGAACUCACAGGAGAGAACCAGGGUUGAGAAGAAAGUAAGUGAACGCCAAGAAAACUUGCACUGCAUGGGUUAUUUGGAGGCUCAAAAGGGGUAAAAUGCUUUUUCUCUAAGCACUUUUGGUGAUGAAUUCCCAUUUCAUCUAAUGUGGUUUCUACUUGACAUUAGCUUUUGGACAUUUUCGAAAGAUUUCUGAAAUCUACUCCUUAGUAGGAGGCUUGGGGGUGGGGUGGAGAGAAAAGGAUGUGUGUAGCUUUGCCUCAGCAAGUUUCGUUCCCCUUCCAAACAGAUGUUGUCUGGCUAGCGCAGCACUGCAUAAAACAUGACUACUGGAUUUGGCACAAAAAGCACCAAUUAACCUAUGUUGAUUGAGUCAUGUAAAAGCAACAGGGCUCACUUAGCGUUGGAUGCUGUUUAAAGAAGGGUAGUCUCAGCCCAGAUUGCUCAUUCCCAUCACGUUCCGCAUCAUGUUCGGCACAGCUGCAGUGGCUGCCCUCCACCCGUCUUGCUGUCCCCUUGCCCAGCUUGGAGCCCUGCAGGCUCAUGCUGGGCCCUAAGCAGACUGCAAACAUGGAAGACAAACCCAAGAUUCAGCUACUCCAAGUAUGUCUGCUUCGAAAUAAUGAGAAUAAGAGAAUAAAGGGUCCUUUCCUCCCCCUCCUCCUGCUUCUUUCCUCUUAAUCUCCCCCUCCCUUUCUUUCUCCUUCCACACCACUUACCAAACUGGGAAUCUCUCUCUUUCCCUCAUCAUCAUUCCCUUCUCCUCCUCUUCUCUUACUUUUCCCUCUUUCAGCACCUUCUCUUUAUGCUGGUGACAGGCUCAAGAGUCCCUACAUUUUCUAGACCUAGGGAAGUGGUUUUCCAACUGUUCAUGAGAAAUCCCCGCACAGCUAGUUUAAAUUCAGGCAGGC
Molecule: non-coding RNA, 4936 nt
Organism: Callithrix jacchus (white-tufted-ear marmoset)
Lineage: Eukaryota; Metazoa; Chordata; Mammalia; Primates; Cebidae
Source: RefSeq, a predicted model, not a curated record